RNAcentral lists this ribosomal RNA (444 nucleotides) under uncultured bacterium. Its description in RNAcentral is "bacterial SSU rRNA". It matches the Rfam family "Bacterial small subunit ribosomal RNA", at positions 331 to 792 of the family's 1533-position model. The record is from RNAcentral.
CCAGACUCCUACGGGAGGCAGCAGUGGGGAAUAUUGCACAAUGGGGGAAACCCUGAUGCAGCGACGCCGCGUGAGUGAAGAAGUAUUUCGGUAUGUAAAGCUCUAUCAGCAGGGAAGAUAAUGACGGUACCUGAGUAAGAAGCCCCGGCUAACUACGUGCCAGCAGCCGCGGUAAUACGUAGGGGGCAAGCGUUAUCCGGAUUUACUGGGUGUAAAGGGAGCGUAGACGGCUGUGCAAGCCUGAAGUGAAAGGCGGGGGCCCAACCCCGGAACUGCUUUGGAAACUGUGCAGCUCGAGUGCAGGAGAGGUAAGCGGAAUUCCUAGUGUAGCGGUGAAAUGCGUAGAUAUUAGGAGGAACACCAGUGGCGAAGGCGGCUUACUGGACUGUAACUGACGUUGAGGCUCGAAAGCGUGGGGAGCAAACAGGAUUAGAUACCCUGGUA